Long non-coding RNA from Cyanistes caeruleus (blue tit), 1575 nucleotides. Lineage: Eukaryota; Metazoa; Chordata; Aves; Passeriformes; Paridae. The record is from Ensembl.
CAGCAAAAAAGCCAAGUCACAAACGAAAACUUUGUAUUCCUUUUUAGUGCUACUGGUUCAAAAGAUGGGAUGAGUGGUAAAUUUUUCUGCAAAUCCGAAGGAACCAGAACAGGGAUGGUCAGCUUAGCAAGAGAAACCAAGGCACCAGUUGUAUGAUGUGAAGUGCUGCUGAAGUCAGUGGAGUUGCACUGCUAUAAAACCAGAUACAACAGAGCAGGUACUUAGCACUUAUGAAAUGCAAGCUCAAGGCAGGCUGUGAGGAACAUCUGCACUUAGAGAAGUCCUUCUGGAAAGCCAAUGGAAAUUAUUUGCUCAAAUAUUAUGCUCCUCCAGCAAUCAGUGGAACUAUUAGUUAACCUGAGGGUGGUCUCUUGCCCACUGCGAGCAUGGCAGGAUCCAUGUGAGGGGACAGAGGAAGAUACAGGCUCACAUUCCAGCAAAGAUGUCCACAGAGGGAUGCACUUCCCCCUGAGGAGCUAUCAGGUCCCUCUGACACCACUGCCUUCUAACACGGACGUUCUCCAGCCUGCAUCAGUCAUCACAGGACACAGCUCUUUUCAUACCUUCUUCCCAACGCUGUGCUGAGGCUCCUGUGGAAUUGCUGUCUGUCUGUCAGCGUUCCUACCUGUGCCUGUGGUCAGUGCUGAUACUCAGGUGAGCUACAGACCACUGAUUAAGUGCAGUCCCAUACCACUGGUGAGCAAUCACAGAAGUUUGGACAACCAUGUAUUCUCACUGAGCCCUGUUGCACUGUGCAGUAAUUAAAAAGUCAUGAGUCCUAUUUAAAUAUAGGGCAUUCUGUCCUAAACCUUUGAGUGCCUGUGGGUGUGAGCAGGCUCAUUCUCCAAAGAUGUUCUCUGGUCUGUGUACAUACACCAGCUUCAUCAAAAGGAUGUAGGAAAUGCCAAAUCCAGAUAUACGGAUUCCACUUUUUUUUAAAAAAUACAUCAUUGAUCAGUCCAGGGAUGGCAAAAAUUAAUAGUAAUGAGCUAAUUACUAUACCAGCUGCCUACAAAGAGAGGACCUGUAGGCAGACUCCUUCUGCCCAUUUGCCUGCUGGUUAAGCCACCACAUUAGAAAUUAUAAAACAAAACUUUUUUCCCUUUAUAAACAUCUAUCAGUAUCACCUUAAUAUGGCCCACAGCACCAACACUGCCUAGCUUUUAAGUUCUCAGAAUCCAGCCAGAAUCUCCCCUAGCACAUUAUAACACAUUUUACUGGCUUGAGCAGGGUAAAACACAGCCGUCUCCUCAAAUGAAUGGCUGGUGAGCUCCAGCAGCCCCUGCACAAGGCCGGGCUCACCAUCUGUGUUCCUCCCAACGUCCGAAGCCCGUUCACAACUGCCAGCCCUUUGAAAAGCCAGCCUGUUUUCCUGAUUGAUUCACUUUUUAAUGAACUGGGAAAGCCUGUGAACUUAAACCCUGACACCUCCACCUCCCUGCCUUCCUAGCCAUCCCUGCAGCAAUGUACUGAUUAUAUUUCAAGUUAUUAUGGGAUUAAUACAGCUGCCCCCAGUGCCUCUUUCCCCUGAACUUCAUCAAUAAAAGUUGUGUCCUAGUCUUACUCUAGUUAGUU